RNAcentral lists this ribosomal RNA (1203 nucleotides) under Saccharomyces cerevisiae (brewer's yeast). The record is from RNAcentral. Lineage: Eukaryota; Fungi; Ascomycota; Saccharomycetes; Saccharomycetales; Saccharomycetaceae.
AUGAAAUUAAAAUUAUUAAAUAUAAUUUUAUCAAUAAUAAAUAAACUUAAUAAUAAUAAUAAUAUUAUUAUUAAUAAUCUAUUAGAUUCAUUAAUAAAUAAGAAAUUAUUAUUAAAGAAUAUAUUAUUAGAUAUAAAUAAUAAAAAAAUAAAUAAUAUAAAAAGAAUAUUAAAUAAUAAUAAUAUAAACCCCGCGGGCGCCAAUCCGGUUGUUCACCGGAUUGGUCCCGCGGGGAAUAUUAAUAAUAAAUUACAACAUUUAAAUAAUAUAAAUAAUUGAAAUCUACAAAUUUAUAAUUAUAAUAAAAAUAUAGAAAUUAUAAAUACUAUAAAUGAUAAAUUAAUUAAUAAAUUAUUAUAUAAAAUAAUAACUUUAAAAUUAAAUAAUAUAAAUAUUAAUAAAAUUAUUAUAAGUAAACUUAUUAAUCAACAUAGUUUAAAUAAAUUAAAUAUUAAAUUUUAUUAUUAUAAUAAUGAUAUUAAUAAUAAUAAUAAUAAUAAUAAUAAUAAUAAUAAUUAUUAUAUAAAUAUAAUAAAUAAAUUAAUAAAUAUUAUAAAUAAUAAUAUAAAUAAUAAUUUAUGUAAUAUUUUAAGUUAUUAUUAUAAUAAAAAAGUAACUAUUGAACCUAUUAAAUUAUCAUAUAUUUAUUUAAAUAGUGAUAUUUUUAGUAAAUAUAUUAGUUUAAAUGAUAUAGAUAAAUAUAAUAAUGGUAUCUUAACUAAUUAUCAACGUAUAUUAAAUAAUAUUAUGCCUAAAUUAAAUGAUCAUAAUAUUUCUAUAAAUUAUAUUAAUAAUAUUAAUAAUAUUAAUAAUAAUAAAUAUAAUAAUAUAAUUAAUUUAUUAAAUAAUAAUAAUAAUAUUAAUAAUAAUAAUAAUUAUAAUAAUAAUAAUAAUAAUUAUAUUGGUAAUAUUAAUAAUAUUUAUAAUAAUAUAACUAUUGAUAAUAUUCCUAUAGAUAUUUUAAUAUAUAAAUAUUUAGUUGGUUGAUCUAUUAAAUUUAAAGGUAGAUUAAGUAAUAAUAAUGGUAGAACUAGUACACUUAAUUUAUUAAAUGGUACUUUUAAUAAUAAAAAAUAUUUAUGAAGUAAUAUUAAUAAUAAUUAUAAAUUAAAUUAUAUCCCUUCUAAUCAUAAUUUAUAUAAUAAUUCUAAUAUUAAUAAAAAUGGUAAAUAUAAUAUUAAAGUUAAAUUAAACUUUAUUUAA